GAUGAACGCUGGCGGCGUGCCUAAUACAUGCAAGUCGAGCGAACAGACGAGGAGCUUGCUCCUCUGACGUUAGCGGCGGACGGGUGAGUAACACGUGGAUAACCUACCUAUAAGACUGGGAUAACUUCGGGAAACCGGAGCUAAUACCGGAUAAUAUAUUGAACCGCAUGGUUCAAUAGUGAAAGACGGUUUUGCUGUCACUUAUAGAUGGAUCCGCGCCGCAUUAGCUAGUUGGUAAGGUAACGGCUUACCAAGGCAACGAUGCGUAGCCGACCUGAGAGGGUGAUCGGCCACACUGGAACUGAGACACGGUCCAGACUCCUACGGGAGGCAGCAGUAGGGAAUCUUCCGCAAUGGGCGAAAGCCUGACGGAGCAACGCCGGGUGAGUGAUGAAGGUUUUCGGAUCGUAAAACUCUGUUAUUAGGGAAGAACAAAUGUGUAAGUAACUAUGCACGUCUUGACGGUACCUAAUCAGAAAGCCACGGCUAACUACGUG
RNAcentral lists this ribosomal RNA (497 nucleotides) under uncultured bacterium. RNAcentral's name for it is "partial 16S ribosomal RNA". It matches the Rfam family "Bacterial small subunit ribosomal RNA", at positions 28 to 507 of the family's 1533-position model. The record is from RNAcentral.